CCUACGGGAGGCAGCAGUGGGGAAUUUUGCACAAUGGGGGAAACCCUGAUGCAGCGACGCCGCGUGGAGGAUGAAGGCCUUCGGGUUGUAAACUCCUUUUGUAAGGAACGAUGAUGACGGUACCUUACGAAUAAGCCACGGCUAACUCUGUGCCAGCAGCCGCGGUAAGACAGAGGUGGCGAGCGUUGUUCGGAAUCACUGGGCUUAAAGGGCGCGUAGGUGGUAGUGCAAGUCUGGGGUGGAAUCCCAGGGCUUAACCCUGGAACUGCCUUGGAAACUG
Molecule: ribosomal RNA, 280 nt
Filed under: uncultured bacterium
Lineage: Bacteria
Description: partial 16S ribosomal RNA
Rfam family: Bacterial small subunit ribosomal RNA
Source: RNAcentral